GUGGGGAAUAUUCCGCAAUGGACGAAAGUCUGACGGAGCAACGCCGCGUGAGUGAUGAAGGUUUUCGGACUGUAAAGCUCUGUUGUUUAGGACGAAAGUGCCUGUUGCAAAUAGUUACAGGUAUUGACGGUACUGAACGAGGAAGCCACGGAUAACUACGUGCCAGCAGCCGCGGUAAUACGUAGGUGGCAAGCGUUGUCCGGAAUUAUUGGGCGUAAAGAGCAUGUAGGCGGGAAUCUAAGUCUGUUGUGAAAAUGCGGGGCUCAACCCCGUAUUGCGAUGGAAACUGGGUUUCUUGAGUGCAGGAGAGGAAAGGGGAAUUCCCAGUGUAGCGGUGAAAUGCGUAGAUAUUGGGAGGAACACCAGUGGCGAAGGCGCCUUUCUGGACUGUGUCUGACGCUGAGAUGCGAAAGCCAGGGUAGCGAACGGGAUUAGAAACCCGGGUAGUCC
Molecule: ribosomal RNA, 450 nt
Filed under: uncultured bacterium
Lineage: Bacteria
Description: partial 16S ribosomal RNA
Rfam family: Bacterial small subunit ribosomal RNA
Source: RNAcentral